GACGAACGCUGGCGGCGUGCUUAACACAUGCAAGUCGAACGGAAAGGCCCUGCUUUUGUGGGGUGCUCGAGUGGCGAACGGGUGAGUAACACGUGAGUAACCUGCCCUUGACUUUGGGAUAACUUCAGGAAACCGGGGCUAAUACCGGAUAGGAGCUCCUGCUGCAUGGUGGGGGUUGGAAAGUUUCGGCGGUUGGGGAUGGACUCGCGGCUUAUCAGCUUGUUGGUGGGGUAGUGGCUUACCAAGGCUUUGACGGGUAGCCGGCCUGAGAGGGUGACCGGCCACAUUGGGACUGAGAUACGGCGCAGACUCCUACGGGGGGCAGCAGUGGGGAAUAUUGCAGAAUGGGCGGAAGCCUGAUGCAGCAACGCCGCGUGCGGGAUGACGGCCUUCGGGUUGUAAACCGCUUUCGCCUGUGACGAAGCGUGAGUGACGGUAAUGGGUAAAGAAGCACCGGCUAACUACGUG
Molecule: ribosomal RNA, 468 nt
Filed under: uncultured bacterium
Lineage: Bacteria
Description: partial 16S ribosomal RNA
Rfam family: Bacterial small subunit ribosomal RNA
Source: RNAcentral